Molecule: long non-coding RNA, 645 nt
Organism: Cannabis sativa
Lineage: Eukaryota; Viridiplantae; Streptophyta; Magnoliopsida; Rosales; Cannabaceae
Exons: 2
Source: RefSeq, a predicted model, not a curated record
CACCUCUCUCUCUCUCUUUGCUCAAACAAUCAAUCCACAACAUAAAAAAAAAAAAAAGAAAACCCUAACUUUCUCUUCUAAUUUAUCUCGCCUCCCUCUCUCUCUCUCCUGUAGCUGCCGCAGAUCUCCCAGCCAGCUCCGGUGACCUCGCCCACGUAUCCUUCUUUUCUCUUUCUUCCUCUCUGGCGGCCUAAACAUAUGGAGCGCCUCCCCUCUCUCUCUGCCCAGAUGCGCGACCUGCGCAUCGCCUCUCUCUCUCUGUGCCCAGAUGCGCAACCUGACCGAUUUUUAUGGUACUGAUUCAGUUGGAUUGCGCAUAAAGAAGCAGAAAUGGCUAGUUUCAGACCGCCCAGUUGGAUUGAUUUUAAAUGUCCAAUAUCGAUCCCCUUUACAACUCGAGUAUGCUUCUCCAAAGUGAUGGAGGCGAUUUAAGGUUUCUGAUAGUUCGUGGUUCUGGCUGGGAUUGAAGAGGCAAUGUUUGGAUGUGAUAAUUUUAUUUGUUUUUUCUUGUUGUAUUGUUCAUACUUUCUGGGUUUGUAGUCAUUUUUUUUUUUUUUUACUGUUAUUGUAGUUUAUGUAUUUUAUUUAAAUUAUACUUGUAUUUUUUUAAUCACUUAUUCUAUAUUACUGCUAUUAAUUAUAAUA